RNAcentral lists this long non-coding RNA (268 nucleotides) under Lathyrus oleraceus (garden pea). RNAcentral describes it as "Pisum sativum (pea) long non-coding RNA (PSAT_LNC005893)". Lineage: Eukaryota; Viridiplantae; Streptophyta; Magnoliopsida; Fabales; Fabaceae. The record is from RNAcentral.
UCCUUCUUUUAAGGGGGCUUUGAGUGAAAGAUCCUACACCCGGAUCUAGUGUACCUUAGGUAAGUAGCAAUAGAUCAUCGCGACUAUCCGGCGUAUACUGGAAUGGUUAAAAUGAUAGCUACGGUUAAUGUGACACUUUGGUUGUCCUGAUGUUCCUCAUGUUACUUGAGGAAAAAUUUGGCUUCUGCGUGGUGUCAUCAAAGCAUUAACCAGACCUUUAGAACCCUAAUUGACUCAUCCUAGCCAUUAGAAAGUAGUGAGAUAACUG